Molecule: long non-coding RNA, 517 nt
Organism: Uloborus diversus
Lineage: Eukaryota; Metazoa; Arthropoda; Arachnida; Araneae; Uloboridae
Exons: 3
Source: RefSeq, a predicted model, not a curated record
UCUGGAUACCAUUGAUUUAAAUAACACCUCAUCAGCGCCACACAGCGGAAGUUGGAAGAUUUUCGACCGGGAGGAGCAAGUCCUGACAUGUUUAUGGAGGGAAGAAAUUCUCCUGGAUAUUCGAAGUCGACGAUCACUACCACCGAAAGCCAGAUUCGAACAGAGAUCUCCAAAAAUAUGACGACCACUCUUAGGGUCUGGAUCCGAAGUUUGCCAGGAAAAAAAAUCCGAAACAAAACAGAGUGUCCAAGAAGUUCCUAUUUCAAUUCCUUCUGUACCAAAAGCUCCUCCCGAACCAAAAACUUCCCCUGAAAAGAAAACCUUACCUGAAAAGAAAGCUGCUCCCUUAACCCUCGAAGAAGCAUACAAGGAGUGUUUCAAGGAGAUGCAGAGAUUGGAUUCCCAAUCAUUUUCUACAAGUCUUCCAGAUGUCCUGCCAGAGAUAUCUACUCAAUCCUCUGAAAGCUCAUAUGAAACGACAGAGACGCCAUUCGGCACGACCACAACCUUAACGAAA